This 2900-nucleotide ribosomal RNA is filed under the name Clostridioides difficile. Its description in RNAcentral is "bacterial LSU rRNA". It matches the Rfam family "Bacterial large subunit ribosomal RNA". Lineage: Bacteria; Bacillati; Bacillota; Clostridia; Peptostreptococcales; Peptostreptococcaceae. The record is from RNAcentral.
UGGUCAAGUUAUUAAGGGUGCAGGGCGGAUGCCUUGGCACUAGGAGCCGAUGAAGGACGUGAUAAGCUGCGAUAAGCUUCGGGGAGUUGCACGUAAACUUUGAUCCGAAGAUUUCCGAAUGAGGAAACUCACUUAGAGUAAUGUCUAAGUAUCAUUAAGUGAAUACAUAGCUUAAUGAGGGGAACUCAGGGAACUGAAACAUCUAAGUACCUGAAGGAAGAGAAAGAAAUUCGAUUCCGUAAGUAGCGGCGAGCGAACGCGGAUUAGCCCAAACCAAUAAAGUUUUCUUUAUUGGGGUUGCGGACAUAUCAUAACGAAGAGGUAUCGUAAUUGAAGAGGUUUGGAAAGACCCACCACAGAAGGUAAUAGUCCUGUAUGUUAAACGAGAAGACUUUAGAUAUGAUCCAGAGUACCACGGGACACGUGAAACCCUGUGGGAAGCAGGAGGGACCACCCUCCAAGGCUAAAUACUACCUAGUGACCGAUAGCGUAUAGUACCGUGAGGGAAAGGUGAAAAGAACCCCGGGAGGGGAGUGAAAUAGAACCUGAAACCCUGCACUUACAAGCUGUGGAAGCACAUUUCUUGUGUGACCGCGUACUUUUUGUAGAACGGGCCAACGAGUUACGUUAAGUAGCAAGGUUAAGCACUUAAGGUGUGGAGCCGUAGCGAAAGCGAGUUUUAACUGAGCGUUCAGUUACUUGACGUAGACCCGAAACCGGGCGACCUACCCAUGAGCAGGAUGAAGCGAAAGUAAAAUUUCGUGGAGGUCCGAACCCACGAGCGUUGAAAAGCUCGGGGAUGACUUGUGGGUAGCGGUGAAAUUCCAAUCGAGCCCGGAGAUAGCUGGUUCUCCCCGAAAUAGCUUUAGGGCUAGCCUCAAGGUGAGAGAUACGGAGGUAGAGCACUGAAUGUCCUAGGGGGUAUUGCACCUACCGAAGACUAUCAAACUCCGAAUGCCGUCAUCUUAUACUUGGGAGUCAGACUGUGGGUGAUAAGAUUCAUAGUCGAAAGGGCAACAGCCCAGAUCGUCAGCUAAGGUCCCUAAAUGUAAGUUAAGUGGUAAAGGAUGUGGGAUUGCACAGACAACCAGGAUGUUGGCUUAGAAGCAGCCACUCAUUCAAAGAGUGCGUAAUAGCUCACUGGUCGAGUGAUCCUGCGCCGAAGAUUUCCGGGGCUAAAACUUACUACCGAAGCUACGGCAUCAGUAAUGAUGGGUAGGGGAGCUUCCCAUACGGGUUGAAGCAUGACCGUAAGGACAUGUGGACAGUAUGGGAGUGAGAAUGUUGGCAUGAGUAGCGAGAUGUGGGUGGGAAUCCCACAGGCCGUAAACCCAAGGUUUCCAGGGGAAGGUUCGUCCGCCCUGGGUUAGUCGGGACCUAAGCUGAGGCCGAAAGGCGUAGGUGAUGGACAACAGGUUGAUAUUCCUGUACUACCGAUAACCAUUUGAGAGAAGGGAUGACACAGUAGGAUAAGCUAAGCACACUGUUGGUUAUGUGUGCCCAAGCAUUGAGGCAGUCAAAGUAGGCAAAUCCGCUUUGAUAAUGCUGGGAUGUGAUGGGGAGCGAAAUUUAGUAGCGAAGUAGCUGAUUUCACACUGUCAAGAAAAGUCUCUAUCGAGGUUAAAGGUACCCGUACCGCAAACCGACACAGGUGGGUGAGGAGAGUAUCCUAAGGCCAGCGAGAGAACUGUUGUUAAGGAACUCGGCAAAAUGACCCCGUAACUUAGGGAUAAGGGGUGCCACCAUCAGGUGGCCGCAGAGAAUAGGCCCAAGCGACUGUUUACCAAAAACAUAGGUUUCUGCUAAGUCGCAAGACGAUGUAUAGGAGCUGACGCCUGCCCGGUGCUGGAAGGUUAAGGGGAUCUGUUAGAGCAAUCGAAGCAGUGAACUUAAGCCCCAGUAAACGGCGGCCGUAACUAUAACGGUCCUAAGGUAGCGAAAUUCCUUGUCGGGUAAGUUCCGACCCGCACGAAAGGCGUAACGAUUUGGGCACUGUCUCAACAACAGACUCGGUGAAAUUGUAAUUCCGGUGAAGAUGCCGGAUACCUGCGACAGGACGGAAAGACCCCAUGGAGCUUUACUGUAGCUUGACAUUGGGUCUUGGUACUACAUGUACAGGAUAGGUGGGAGGCUUUGAAACCAGGACGCCAGUUUUGGCGGAGCCAUCCUUGGGAUACCACCCUUGUAGUACUGGGACUCUAACCAUAGGCCAUGAAUCUGGUCUUGGGACACUGUCAGGUGGGCAGUUUGACUGGGGCGGUCGCCUCCCAAAAGGUAACGGAGGCGCUCAAAGGUUCUCUCAGUACGGUCGGAAAUCGUACGUAGAGUGUAAAGGCAAAAGAGAGCUUGAUUGCAAGACAUACAGGUCGAGCAAGGAUGAAAAUCGGACUUAGUGAUCCGGUGGUUCUGCGUGGAAGGGCCAUCGCUCAACGGAUAAAAGCUACCCUGGGGAUAACAGGCUUAUCUCCCCCAAGAGUCCACAUCGACGGGGAGGUUUGGCACCUCGAUGUCGGCUCAUCACAUCCUGGGGCUGUAGUAGGUCCCAAGGGUUGGGCUGUUCGCCCAUUAAAGUGGUACGCGAGCUGGGUUCAGAACGUCGUGAGACAGUUCGGUCCCUAUCCGUCGCAGGCGUAGGAAAUUUGAGAAGACCUGUCCUUAGUACGAGAGGACCGGGAUGGACGUACCUCUGGUGUACCAGUUGUUCUGCCAAGGGCAUGGCUGGGUAGCUAUGUACGGAAUGGAUAAGCGCUGAAAGCAUCUAAGCGCGAAGCCAACUUCAAGAUAAGAUUUCCCACCGCAAGGGUAAGACCCCAGAAAGACUAUCUGGUUGAUAGGUCGAAGGUGUAAGUGCAGCAAUGUAUUUAGCUUAUCGAUACUAAUAGGUCGAGGACUUGACCAAU